This 1530-nucleotide long non-coding RNA is filed under the name Ananas comosus (pineapple). RNAcentral's name for it is "long non-coding RNA (ACOM_LNC004445)". Lineage: Eukaryota; Viridiplantae; Streptophyta; Magnoliopsida; Poales; Bromeliaceae. The record is from RNAcentral.
UAAUUGAAUAUAGAAAUUUUAAUUUAUAAUAAGAGUUCGACUAUGGUGUUUAUAGAAGCACUAAAUACUUAGUGUACUUAUCAAUUUUUUUUCAUCAUUAAAUCUAUCAUUUUGAUCAAUUCUUUUUAGAUCAUGCUAUUCCACCAACGUUAUCCACUAAACUUUAGGGAUUAUCAUCCUAAUCCUGCAAAUUUUCAUCCAAAUACUGAAAAUCUAAAGUACUAAAAACUUAGUACUGUUAGAAGCAUUCUAGUCCAGUUCUUUUAAAUAAUAUAUCAAUUGCAUCUAGGAUGUCAAAUAGUAGCUUAAUUGUCAUAUGCAGGUUACAAAUUGGAAUUUUUUGUUUUUUAGAAGCGGGGCAUUAUAUAUGUAAAAUUGAUGGAUUUAUUUAUUAUAUUCUCUUGAUCAAGGCUUAGACCUUGUUUGGAUGCAUGAAUAUUUUAUUCAUUAUAUUAUCUUGAUUUAUUUAAAAAAUUUAUAUAUUUGGUAGAGAAGAAAUGUGAUCAAAUAUUUACAAUAGAGUAUUAUAUUUAGCUUUCAAGAUACUUUUUCAUAAUAAAAUAAAUCAUUUUUAGAUAAAAUAUACUCUUCUGUAAAAUUAAUCAUAGAUAGUAAAAUUUUUUAGAAAAUAAAAAAUCAAACUCUGUAAUUAUAAUCAUACUAGAAAACUUUCAUAUUAAAUAAAUUAUUUUUGGAUAACUUAUUUCGAUAUUCAAACAAGAUUUAAAGGUAAUUGUUUUAAGAAGGUUUUUUUUUUUUCUCGCGCUUUGUUCAUUUAUUUUUAUAAAUAAACUCAGAUAAAUAUGUGAAAUAAUUAGACUAUGACUUUGAUUCUCAAAUAUAGUCUAUUAAGAUUUUAGCCAACUGUGUAAGUUACAGUCGAUUUGUGUCAAAGUUGUCAAUGCCUGUUGUGUCUAGUACAACACCAAUGAUAGAGGCUAUGUGAAAGAUAUGUAGACGUAGAAGUUAUAAGUACACACACUACAACAAAAACGGUCUAUAGCAACACUUUUAAAUAUAGGUACAUAUCAAAAAAGUGCUGCUAGCUAAAGUUACCGACACUUUUAAAAAGUGCUGCUAUAUAUGGGGUCGCUAGGUAUAUAGUGACAGUUAAAGAGUGUCGCUAUAACUUAAAAGAGUGCUGCUAAUCUACGAAUACUUAUUUAAGCAUUUAGCAACCGCCGAAACUUUAUCUCGUUGGCUGCGGUGGCGGAGGAGGACGAUAGGAAAGGCUCUUCGUCUAGAAUUUCAAUGGAUUGAGUGAAGAGAGAAGAAAAGAUGGCAAUUAAUUUUUUUUUUUUCUUUUCUGUUUGUAAUCGGGCCAAAUGGACUCGGUGUGGUGGGUUGAGUAGAGUAAUCUUUUAUUUUUGGUUGGAUUGGGCUUUAUAUUUAGGCAUUAGCAGAUAUUUUUUUAAAUUUUAGCAUAAAUGGGACACUUACUCAAAAGUGUUCCAAACAUGUGUCUCUAUAAUCUAAUUCUGUUGUAGUGACAGCUGGUUACAUGAGUUGACAAAGGUAGUAUUCAUUUAC